This 253-nucleotide ribosomal RNA is filed under the name uncultured beta proteobacterium. Its description in RNAcentral is "partial 16S ribosomal RNA". It matches the Rfam family "Bacterial small subunit ribosomal RNA", at positions 524 to 776 of the family's 1533-position model. The record is from RNAcentral. Lineage: Bacteria; Pseudomonadati; Pseudomonadota; Betaproteobacteria.
UACGUAGGGUCCAAGCGUUAAUCGGAAUUACUGGGCGUAAAGCGUGUGCAGGCGGUUUCGAAAGUCCGAUGUGAAAUCCCCGGGCUUAACCUGGGAACUGCGUUGGAAACUACGAGGCUAGAGUGCGGCAGAGGGGGGUGGAAUUCCAGGUGUAGCAGUGAAAUGCGUAGAUAUCUGGAGGAACACCGAUGGCGAAGGCAGCCCCCUGGGUUAGCACUGACGCUCAUACACGAAAGCGUGGGGAGCAAACAGG